RNAcentral lists this small RNA (256 nucleotides) under Arabidopsis thaliana (thale cress). RNAcentral's name for it is "ATSL088360". The record is from RNAcentral. Lineage: Eukaryota; Viridiplantae; Streptophyta; Magnoliopsida; Brassicales; Brassicaceae.
GACCUUGUGAUCGAGUGCGAUCGAGUGGAUGUCAUGAGGGUGUGAUCGAGUGGUUUCUUCGGCUUCUCUUCUCUUCUUUGUUCUCAGCUUGUCUGGUUGAGUGCAGAAUGAGCAGAUAGGCUUCCUGGUGAUAGAGUGGUGAUCGAGUGGUUCUGAUGGGGUGAUUCCUCCGGCUUCGCGAUUGAGUGAAACUGAGCUGCUUGCUUCUCCGGGGUUGCGAUAGAGUGAUUUGCCCUGGCAGGGCUCCGAGGCUGCG